Molecule: long non-coding RNA, 382 nt
Organism: Actinia tenebrosa (Australian red waratah sea anemone)
Lineage: Eukaryota; Metazoa; Cnidaria; Anthozoa; Actiniaria; Actiniidae
Source: RefSeq, a predicted model, not a curated record
CUACAUAAAGCURGGCGAGGUCGUUAUUAAUCGAAGUUUGUUAUUUGAUCUUUAUAUACACGAGAAAAGAAGAACUCAAAAUGAAGGGAGUAUUGAUUGUAGCGUGUUUGGUGCUUGUGGCAUCGACUUGUCUUCAAGCCAUGCCWGCRGAGAACCAAGAAUUUUGCAGCUCUGAUUAUGACCUGGCGUACUGCGGAAAGUCUUGCAAUCGCGGCGAUUGUACMAGCAGUGGAAAAAGAGACUGUGAAGACGGAUUGAUGUGUUGUGUGUGCCCGAUGUGAACAAACAGAAUCUUCCCUUCAAGGGYGGAGUUGGGCAGUGUUUUAAAUCUAUAAUCGUCAUAUGUGUWAACCUGAAUAAACAGUAGUUUGUUCUCAUAAAA